This 841-nucleotide long non-coding RNA is filed under the name Marmota monax (woodchuck). Lineage: Eukaryota; Metazoa; Chordata; Mammalia; Rodentia; Sciuridae. The record is from RNAcentral.
AAUACACAGAGGCAAAUCUACACAAAUCCAGUUUUCUCAUACUAGGCAAAGUUACCAAAAACAUACAUUGUAGAAAAGAUAGCCUCUUCACCAAAUGGUGCUGGGAAAACUAGAAAUUCCUAUGUAGCAAAAUGAAAUUAAACCUCUAUCUCUCACCCUGCACAAAUUUAAAUUCAAAGUGGAUUAAGGACUUAGGCAUUAGAAUAGAGACCCUGCACCUAAUAGAAGAAAAAGUAGGCCCAAAUUUUCAUCAUGUUGGCCUAGGAUCUGAUUUCCUUAACAAGACUCCUAAAGCACAAGAAGUAGAAUAAAGAGUUAAUAAAUAGAAUGGAAUCAAACUAAAUAGCUUCUUUACUGCAAAGGAAACUAACAAUCAUGUGAAGAGAGAGCCUACAGAAUGGGAGAAAAUCUUUAUCACACUCAUCUCAGAUAGAACAUUAAUCACAAGGAUAUAUAAAGAACUCAAAAAUUUAAUACCAAAAAACCCAAAUAACCUAAUCCAUAAAUGGGAAAAGGAACAGAACAGGCACUUCACAGAAGAAACACAAUCCAUCAACAAACAUAUGAAAAAAUGUUCCAACAUCUCUAGCAAUUAGAGAAUGCAAAUCAAAACUACACUGAGAUUCCAGUCAGCAUGGCAAUUAUCAAGAAUACAAGCAACAAUAAAUGUUGGUGAAAUGUGGGGAAAAUGUACACUCAUACAUUGCUGGUGGGACUGCAAAUUGGUGACACCACUAUGAAAAGCAGUAUGGAGAUUCUUCAGAAAACUUGGAAUGGAACCACCAUUUGACUGAGUUAUCCCACUCCUAUAUUUAUACCCAAAGGACUUAAAAUCAGCAUA